AGCGAACGCUGGCGGCAGGCUUAACACAUGCAAGUCGAACGCAUCCUUCGGGGUGAGUGGCAGACGGGUGAGUAACGCGUGGGAACAUGCCCUUUGGUUCGGAAUAACUCAGGGAAACUUGAGCUAAUACCGGAUAAGCACUUUUGGGGAAAGAUUUAUCGCCGAAGGAUUGGCCCGCGUCCGAUUAGCUAGUUGGUGAGGUAAUGGCUCACCAAGGCGACGAUCGGUAGCUGGUCUGAGAGGAUGAUCAGCCACGCUGGGACUGAGACACGGCCCAGACUCCUACGGGAGGCAGCAGUGGGGAAUAUUGGACAAUGGGGGCAACCCUGAUCCAGCCAUGCCGCGUGAGUGAUGAAGGCCCUAGGGUUGUAAAGCUCUUUCGGCGGGGACGAUAAUGACGGUACCCGCAGAAGAAGCCCCGGCUAACUUCGUGCCAGCCGCCGCCGUAA
RNAcentral lists this ribosomal RNA (449 nucleotides) under uncultured bacterium. RNAcentral's name for it is "partial 16S ribosomal RNA". It matches the Rfam family "Bacterial small subunit ribosomal RNA", at positions 29 to 523 of the family's 1533-position model. The record is from RNAcentral.